AGUCUGGAGCUGAGGUUCUCACUGUGGCAAGCAGCUACCACGCAGGGACAGGAAGUCUGAUGGAGCCCUUGAUUACAGGUGUCUGUGCAGAAAAGAAGACAACGGCAGCAACCUUUCCUCAUCCCCUUGUUGCCUCCCAGAGACAGAGGGAGUGAACGAUCUGGGAGCAGAGCGUUGCUUAGGCCAUUUGCCAUUUCCCCUUCCUGUUCUGCUCUCUCUUCGCACCAGCAGAACCUCCUUCCAUGAAGCUCCCAGAAUCCUUGCUCUGGCCUUCUACUGCCCCCACGCACACCCACACAGGCCCUUAACCCCUCACGUGCAGCUGCCCUCAGCUGCUCUCCGCUGCUCUCCAGUUUAGGGGCAUCACACCUCCAUGGCUUAACCUCAGCAAAGUGUCAGCAGGCCUUUGCAGGGGUAGGGAAUGCAGGACCCCGCAGUACCUACAGCCGGAGAGGCAUGCGCUAUCCCUGGCACGUUUCCCGUGUGCGCAGGUGGCCCAGGGAAGGGGUGACUGCUCGCCGUUGCCCCGAGCUUGUCUCUGGGCCCCGGAAGGGCAGUGGGAAUGCCACCCUGAGCAGAGGUGAGACUCACAGGGCAUCCCCAAGCGCACUCUAGGCUUCAGUUGUGCACACGUACACAUUUACUGAGCCUGUACCGUGUGCCAAGUGCUGGGGAUUCCGCAAGCAAGAAAACAUUCGGAGUCUCUGACUUCACAGAGCUAAAAUUCACACGGGAGGAGGCGGUCGGCACGUAACAGACAACUAGAGAAUGACGCGAGUUGAGAUGGCGUUUUUGACAGCUCCCUUCCAGAGGAAACUGUAUUGUUCAGCGUUGGAGGGCCUGGGUUCCCUCCAGCAGUCCCCACCCUUCCAUGAGAGCCAAGGCCCUGGAGCACCUGAAAAAGUGGCUGGCCUCCCGGGACCCCCACUGUGCGGCAGCUUCGGAGGUAGGAGUGUGAUUGGCUCUGAUCUGACGAAACCAGCCUCCUUAUUGAAAGUUGUGGUUGUCAGUCUAAUGGCGCCCUAGAAAGCUUGUGAUCUAGACCUGGCCAAUCAGAGCACAAGGAUUAGUUAAAGCAGGGCACAUGAUCUUAGGAUGGCCAAUCAGAGGCCAGCCUUGCACUUUGGAAAGAAGGAGCUCUCCUUAGGCUGGGAGGGGCCAAGCCGCUGGCCCGUGAGCCUGGGACAGCUCUGGACUGUGCUUGCUGUCCUUGAGGAGAAUACAGCCAGCCCACGGCAAAUCAGAGCCAGGCAGGUGAGGAAGUUACUAAGAAGACUUUUUGACAUGUACAAGUCUGGAUCUAAGGAAUAAAGUGAAGUUGUCCAAAAGAAAUGCCUGCUGAAAGAAACAGAAGGAAAAAGAGAUGAAGGAGCUGGGGACAAUGCAAACAAGCCUGGACACCUUUAUAAUUUUCUUUGGGCUCGGCAUGGCAUCCAAGCUCCUGUAGAUCUGACCUUUGCCUUUUCUAGAAAAAACUAAUAAGUUAUCCUAGAUUGUAUGGUGGGCGUUAUUAAUCUAGUUAAUAGAUUGCACUGUUUUUAUGAGGGCUUUGGCCCAUUAAUUGUUUCCAUGCAAAUGGAUGCCGUUAAUUACAAAUUAAUCUUAUCUUUUUGUUAAGGCAGGGCCAUCAGGACCUCCACUUGGCAAUGCUUGCUGGCACUUGAUAUGAAUCAAUGCGUACACUUGAAAGUAAUAAAACUGCAUUUAUUUAAAGAUAGUUAAUAAAUCAGAUCUUCAUUAAUGCAG
Molecule: long non-coding RNA, 1746 nt
Organism: Pongo pygmaeus (Bornean orangutan)
Lineage: Eukaryota; Metazoa; Chordata; Mammalia; Primates; Hominidae
Exons: 3
Source: RefSeq, a predicted model, not a curated record